Micropterus dolomieu (smallmouth bass) is the source of this 369-nucleotide long non-coding RNA. RefSeq lists it as uncharacterized. The transcript has 3 exons. The record is from RefSeq and is a predicted model, not a curated record. Lineage: Eukaryota; Metazoa; Chordata; Actinopteri; Centrarchiformes; Centrarchidae.
AUGUAGUUGUUUUUCUAGACAGGAACAGUUUAAAAUGAAUGCUUUGUGCAUAUUAAAUCAGUAUGGGUAGCUCACACUCUCGCUCGCUUUAAAGAUCAUGAUUUUGAAACGAGGUUCGUUCAGCGACGUUAUCUGAAAUUGCAUUUUAUCUGAAAUACUGGCCCUUGUUCCGUAAUCAGAUGAACUGAAGAAAAGGACUUCCAGUGAAAUGAGCUGUGGAGCUGUUAGUCAUGGUCGACCUGCUGAAGUGAAGCAUGUUCAGAUAACAACGUGAGACAUUUAGAUCUACCAUAAACACCUGACUGGUUUGUUGGCUUUGUUUUUAUUGUAAGUUGUUCAUGGUCGAAUAAAUACAAUUUGUUAAGCAAA